AUGAAUAGACCAGUUUCUUUGGAGCAUAAAAUUCUGCAUUCUGAUUUAUUUCUCGCCAUUCCAAGAAUUCGACAGGAGGUAUCGUCCCUCCUCCCCCUUGUUAGAAAGAGUCCAAGCUGAUAGUUUCGGUGUGUGGUGAAUUAAUCACUUUUUGUAUGGAAAAAUUGGCAUUUGCCUAUUUGGCCAAUAUUAGAAAUAAAAUAGGCUGGCGCCUAGGGUGAAAAUUACGUUGGGAGACAUUGGGCUUGGGGAUAGUUGUGGUGUAUUAAAAAUACAUAUUUUAAUUAAUUAAGAUCAAUAAAUUCCGAAAUCGUCACAGAAUAUUCUGAACACGAGUUUCAAGAAAGUGUGACCACUUCCCUACCUUGAAAAUUCUUGGUCUCAUUUUGAAUUGGUCAGAAUAAAUGGGACGGAAUCAGGUAUAUGUUGAAACCAAACCAAUUAAGCGCAUGAGACUGGAUCAUAGCUCAUGUAAAUGAGAUAUCCUUACAAUUGUAUCGAGAAGUGGAAAAAUACUCACCUCUGCAUAUUUUUUAUUUUCGAAAGGUGUCUUGCAAAUCCAAGAAUGAUGCAUGCUGACUUAUUGUAUAUUGGUUCGCCCAACAAUACUUUGGAGAUGAUACUCAGAAAGCUGUGAAUAUAAUCACAACAAUAUUCACUAUUUUUCUAUCGUACAGCGAUCGAUGUAUAUUUUUCAGUUUUCAGACUGAAAGAAUGAUAAAAAAUGUGCGGGGCGAAUUACGUCAUCAAAUCAACAAUUUCAAUUGGUUGCCUGAUAAUGCUAACGCUGCAUUGACAGAGAUAAUUAGGAGAACGAAAAUUUUAAACGGAAUGCCAAAUUGGUGCAGAAACCGAACGGCCAUUGAAUAUCAUUAAAAAGAGUUUACGACUGGUCCUGACUACUUACCUAAUAUUUGGAGCUUCUGGAGUUACGAGAAGUAGUACAAUCUUUACUUGUUUACUGAUUGCGUGACACCAAAGCGAUGGUAUACAAAUCCACUGAUUGCAAAGGCCUACUAUCAGCCCUUUACUAAUGUACUCUUCAUAAAUGCAGCUUUUCUUCAACUGUCUUUCUUCGGUUCCGCACUGCCAGAACGGUACGAUGAGGCCCUCUUUCUGGACCAUGACGCUUUGGAUGACUAUGAUGACCAAAUUUCGUGCUUCAUGAGAUAUUUCGCUAACAGUUACAACAAAAGCGAAGUAGCUGUGCAAACAUUUGACGAAAUCCUGGCGGAUGCAAUAGGAAUGCAAGCAUCAUUGGACAUUUACGAACGUCUAAAGCAGCAUAAUAAAUCAGAUCGGGAAUUAAAGAUUUGAAAAUUUUACUAUUGAACUACUAUUGAGAUGUUUACUAUUGAGAUGUUUUUCAUAUCUUUCAGCCAGGCAUGUACUCCUCACAAAAAUGAAAUGAUUCCCGUUGACUAGUAGUGCAUUAUUUGAAAUAGGUUAAUGAUUACUUUUCGUCUUACAUUUAUUCGAGUUCUUUCUGAAAAUUCUUGUUUUUAGACAUACUGCGAAAGUAAAGCUCCAGGAUUGGAAAAGCACUGGCUCUACCCACACAGUCCCUCAGAGUACCGAGCGAAUGGUGCUGCUCGCAAUAUUCUAGAAUUUGCAAAAGCUUUCAAUUAUCCAGUGGGGAGCCCCAUGAAUCCUGCGACCAAAUGUAGUGUUUGGAAAAAAUAACUACAAUUUUUUAUUGUGAAUAAUUUUUAUUGCACUUUCUUUCCAUUCCGUAUAUUGUCCAUGCAUCAAGCUAACAAUGUU
Diachasma alloeum is the source of this 1764-nucleotide long non-coding RNA. RefSeq lists it as uncharacterized. The record is from RefSeq and is a predicted model, not a curated record. The transcript is spliced from 5 exons. NCBI's taxonomy places the organism in Eukaryota, Metazoa, Arthropoda, Insecta, Hymenoptera, Braconidae.